GUGGGGAAUCUUGCACAAUGGGCGAAAGCCUGAUGCAGCCAUGCCGCGUGAAUGAUGAAGGCCUUAGGGUUGUAAAAUUCUUUCGUCAGGGAUGAUAAUGACCGUACCUGAAGAAGAAGCACCGGCUAACUUCGUGCAAGCAGCCGCGGUAAUACGGAGGGGGCUAGCGUUGUUCGGAAUUACUGGGCGUAAAGCGCACGUAGGCGGACUUUUAAGUCAGGUGUGAAAUCCCGGGGCUCAACCUCGGAACUGCAUUUGAGUCUGGAAGUGUUGAGAUCAGGAGAGGUUAGCGGGAUACCGAGUGUAGAGGUGAAAUUCGUAGAUAUUCUGUCGAACACCAGGGCCUUAGGCGGCUAACUGUGCUGAUAGUGACGCUGAGGUGCGAAAGUGUGGGGAGCAAACAGGAUUAGAUACCCGAGUAGUCC
This 425-nucleotide ribosomal RNA is filed under the name uncultured bacterium. RNAcentral describes it as "partial 16S ribosomal RNA". It matches the Rfam family "Bacterial small subunit ribosomal RNA", at positions 354 to 796 of the family's 1533-position model. The record is from RNAcentral.